This is a long non-coding RNA of Oncorhynchus tshawytscha (Chinook salmon), 2112 nucleotides long. Lineage: Eukaryota; Metazoa; Chordata; Actinopteri; Salmoniformes; Salmonidae. The record is from Ensembl.
CAGUUUAGUAAACAACAAUUUUCAAAUAUAUGUGUUGCCAUGAGACAUCUAACCGUUAGAACAUAUCGGCGUUCUAUUGAACGUUUUCUGUUCGAAAACAAGAACAACUUCAAUUUGCUGUUUAACAACAACAAACUUGUCUGAUUUUUGAGACCUGAGAUUGAAACAUCGACUGGAAAAUGCCUGGGUGCUUUUCAAGAUUGACGGAGCGAGUGCGAGGACGUCGGCAGCCUUCUGCGUCGACAGGUUGUUCAAAUUCAUUUAUGGGUUGUUUUUGUUGUCUUUUUCCGUUUUGCAGGGUUCGCGAUCGUCGGGAGGUGGACAGCGACAGCGACUUCGAAGAGGAAUCAACUGUGCUGGAUGAGGUCCAGUUGGAUGUGCCACUGCUGCCAGUUAUCCUUAAUGUCCAGGAUGCUGCUAUCAUCCUCAAAAAUGUGCCAGAUGUGCUGACUAUCUUUGAGGAGGCCACUGGUAAUUGGCAGCUGAUACCGAUUAGGUUCAGCCCCCUGUACUGUGGGCCUGUUGUGAUCAGGAACAAUGCCGGUCCGGUGGCUAAAGCCUGGAGAACUUUCCAGUUCUUCAGCCCCUCUAUCACCUACAUGCGUGGGGGAUCCCAGCAGGUGGUGGUGAGGAGGCACCAUGUGAGUAGGGUUCGAGGCCUGGAGACUCAACUGGUGUGGGCCAUCUCCAAGGAGACAGCCAGGCUUAGUCCAGAGGGCAUCCCCUACUGUGCCACCAAGGUGCAGUCCGUCACUUGGAUCCAGUAUGUGGCUGGCAGGGUGACCCAGUAUGUGUCUCACCUCCGCCACGAGACGUCUGUGGACGUGACGUUUGGCUGCUACCAGCAGACUGAUGUCUCAGUGGUGUAUGCCACUCUCCACAUGGGGCUGGAUGGGCUGCUCUCCUCCUCGGCGUGGUCGGAGGCUGCCUCCGUGUCUACGCCCACCAAUCAGCAGUUCACUGAGCCAGAGCCUGAGGGCCACAACUGCUAUGAGGGCUGGGAGGAGGACCUGCUGCCUGAGGAGAGAGAGGUUCCUCUGCUAAACCUCUACCUUACCACCAAGAGAGUGGAGGACAUCGCCCUGAGGCUCGUCUCCCUGCGCCAGGCCUUCACUGACGAGGCCGAAUUCAUCCGUGCCUAUAAUGACUUUGUGGACUACCUGAGUGACCCCUCCAAGAAGAUUGACAUUGAGAGGGAGCUGGUUGAGGCAAAGAUCCAUCAUGUUAACCUGAUAGAUGUCCUCUUUGAACUGGUGCUGUUUGGGUUGAUGACAGCUCAGAAGUCCCUGAUGGUGCACCCUGGUGGGUUCAUGGAGCGUCUGUACGCUCUCCUGUACUCCUUCCUGCCCGCUGCUGCCAGCAUUGAGCCAAAGGCUGAGAGAUACCUGCUGCUGCUCAAUGUAAGAGUCAAGAGUUUACUUCCUUAUUCCUAGUAGACUUUUUCCUGAUUAACAGGGUUUCAAUUACAUUUUACAGGGAGUAACUCUCAUUGUCUCUCUGCUCUUGAUAAGCUAGUAACUCAGAGCCAUUAUCUAUGUGUUGUGUGGUGUUCUCUUCAGGGCGGGCUGAUGGCUCUGCUAGAUGACAUGUUUGGGCAGCAGCUGGCCUGGUACUUUAACCCAGUGUCUCUGGUCACUGAGCUCUCCAGCCUCCUGGAGUACCACCUGGAGAACCUCAUGGCCAGCAUGUAGUCCUACUGCAGAGAUCUGAAAGGCCACUCUCUCUCUCUCUGUCCAUCUCUCUGUUUUUGUCCAUCUCUCUCUCUCUGUCCAUCUCUCUCUCUCUCUGUCCAUCUCUCUCUCUCUCUCUGUCCAUCUCUCUUUCUCUCUCUCAGGAUUUGAGGACUUGAAGUGCUUCGUUGAACCUUGAUUAGUUAACACCCCAUUCAAUUAAUGUAUUCUCUUGUUUUCUCUCCCCACAGGAUUCUUGUGACACUUUGCCACCUAACAGGGAUCUAGACACUAAUGCACUACAUUACUUUGCACUGAAUUUUACAUUUUUAAAUAAAAUAACUAGUAUUUCAAUUGCAUUUGUCUCUGUCUUUCCAUUUACUUGAUUAUUUCAUCACUACUUCCUCUUCCUGGAGUUAUGAGGCUAAUAUUACAUGAACAA